UUUCGCUCUUNGAAGUUUGUAUCUCGUGUGUGGUAGUAGUCAGGAUUAAAAGCCUNACUAGCUAAACGCACGCAGUCGUAACCGAAAGGUUGAUCGACCACAGUGGGSCUGAACAAAGCCCAUGACGAUUGUCACAGCAGUGAGGAAUAUUGGUCAAUAGCCUAACGGCUGAACCAGCAACUUGGAGGAAUGUAUAGCAAUAGCUACUUGUAUCAUUGUAGAUAUGAUGCAAGAUCGACUUGGUCGAAUAAAAUUCUAGGUAGAAUUAUGAUAAUGACAUUGUCUGCCUAUGUGUCUUGACCAAAUUACGUGCCAGCUGUCGCGGUAAUACGUAGAAGACUAGUGUUAUUCAUGUUUAGUCGGUUUAAAGGGUACCUAGACGGUAAAUCAAGCCUACAAAUAAAUGAAGGGACUAUUUUGCUAGAGUUACUUACGAGGGGGUUUUAAAGUACUGCUGGUGUAGAGAUGAAAUUCUGUAAUACCUCUUUUCAAUUGAAAAAUAAUGGCACAGGUAUAGGCGAAGGCAUCCCCUUAUGUGAUAACUGACGUUGAGGGACGAAGGCUUUGUGUAGCGAACAGGAUUAGAUACCCCAGUAGUCAAAGCAGAAAAUGAUGAAUGUCAUAGAUUAGACGUCUAAGUUUAUUCUAUAAAUGAAAGUGUAAGCAUUCCACCUCAAGAGUAAUUUGGCAACAUUGGAACUGAAAUCAUUAGACCGUUUCUGAAACCAGUAGUGAAGUAUGUUGUUUAAUUUGAUGCCACGCAAAAAACCUUACCACAAUUUGAAUAUUUAUAUUUUUUUUUUAUUAUUGUUUUAUUUUUAAUUUUCUUAAAGGACUAGGAAAGAAUUAUAUUAAAUUAGAUUAUUAAAAAUAAAGGCAAUAAGAUAUAUUUACAAGUGUUGCACGGCUGUCUUCAGUUAAUGUCGCGAGACUCUGGUUAGUUCCAUGAAAUUAACGUAAACCCUUACUUUAUUUUUUAUAUAGAGUAGUUCCCCGCUAUA
Molecule: ribosomal RNA, 1001 nt
Filed under: Bryoria tenuis
Lineage: Eukaryota; Fungi; Ascomycota; Lecanoromycetes; Lecanorales; Parmeliaceae
Description: SSU rRNA
Rfam family: Bacterial small subunit ribosomal RNA
Source: RNAcentral